AGCUUUGUGCAGUGGCAGUAUUGAAGCAAAUGAGGUUUAUCUGAGGAACAAUUAUUGCUAAUUAAAUAUAUAUGUAUAUUUCC
RNAcentral lists this small nuclear RNA (83 nucleotides) under Dipodomys ordii (Ord's kangaroo rat). RNAcentral's name for it is "U4 spliceosomal RNA". It matches the Rfam family "U4 spliceosomal RNA", at positions 1 to 83 of the family's 138-position model. Rfam says of the family: U4 small nuclear RNA (U4 snRNA) is a component of the major U2-dependent spliceosome. The structure of U4 snRNA from yeast and human has been reported. Lineage: Eukaryota; Metazoa; Chordata; Mammalia; Rodentia; Heteromyidae. The record is from Rfam by way of RNAcentral.